AUUUUAAAAAGAAAAUAAAAAACUAACCUCGAUUCCCCCCUCCCUUCGCCUCACUCGAGUCUCUCAAUGGCUCACUCACACACUAAUACGCUCAUCAGAAAGCAAAGGGAUCUUCUUCUCGUAGCCACCGGCCACAUCGUUGCCACCGGCCACCACCACCACACUGCUCCCUGCGUUGUCGUUGAACGCACGGCAUCGUCGCCUCCGUCUGUGGCUCGCUGCACUGCGUCGUCGCGUGUUGGUGCUCCCUGUGCAUCUGUCGUCGUCGUUGCUUUCUCGCCCGGCGUUGCUCGCGGUUGUUGCUGCCUCGCUGUUUGCGUCAUCGCUGUGGUUGGUCUCUCUCUUCUCGUCAUUUGCGUCGUCUGCAUGCUCGGGGUGAAGAUGUUGUUAAUCCUGGCAAGUGUGAGAAGGCUAGAUUGAAAGAGAUGCAAAAAAUGAAAAAACAAAAGCUUCAGGAGAUAUUGGAUGCACAAAAUGCAGCCAUAGAUGCCGAUAUGAAUAAUAAAGGAAAAGGAAGACUAAAAUAUCUCUUACAGCAGACUAAGCUGUUUGCACAUUUUGUAAAAGGUGAACAAUCAUCUCAGAAGACAAGAGGCAGGGGCCGCCAUGCAUCAAAAGUGACAGAAGAGGAGAAAAAUGAAGAAUACCUAAAAGAAGAAAAAAUUGAAGGAUUACCAACUUACUAGGCUAAACUGGCUUAUAAGAGUGUAUGAGAAUGGAAUAAAUGAAAUUCAAUCUACUGAAAUGAACAAUCUUCAUGAAUUCUGGUCUCUGCUCAACUUUCUUUUUCUCGAAUUUUUUAGUUCUUCUCAACCUUGGGUCUCAUAUAUACUUUAGUUAUCUAAAUAUAAUAUUUUGAUGCUUCUAUAUUUUUAAAGAGACUUUACCUGGUAUUACAUGUAAUGGAUAAAUUACACUGUAUUUUGAUUUGUGUCGUUUGGACUAAAAAUAUAUCUAGCUUAUAAUAUAAAUUUUAUGAUCUAGAUUUC
Molecule: non-coding RNA, 989 nt
Organism: Arachis ipaensis
Lineage: Eukaryota; Viridiplantae; Streptophyta; Magnoliopsida; Fabales; Fabaceae
Source: RefSeq, a predicted model, not a curated record